This 1554-nucleotide long non-coding RNA is filed under the name Marmota monax (woodchuck). The record is from RNAcentral. Lineage: Eukaryota; Metazoa; Chordata; Mammalia; Rodentia; Sciuridae.
AUUGAACCCAGGGCCUUGUGCAUGUGAGGCAAGUACUCUACCAACUGAGCUAUAACCCCAGCCCCCAUUCUUUCUUUAUUUUUAUUUAUACAUGACAGUGGAAUGCAUUACAAUUUUUAUUACAUAAAUAGAGCACAACUUUUCAUAUCUCUGGUUGUAUACAAAGUAUAUUCACACCAAUUUGUGACUUCAUACAUGUACUUUGGAUAAUAAUGAUCAUCACAUUCUACCAUCAUUUCUAACCCCAUGCCCCGUCCCUUCACCUCUAACCCCUCUGCCUUUUCUAGAGUUCGACUAUUCCUCCCAUGUUCCCUCUCCCACUAUGAAUAAGCCUCCUUAUAUCAAAAAAAGGUAUACUCAUAAACUGCUGGUGGGACUGCAAAUUGGUGCAACCAAUAUGGAAAGCAGUAUGGAAAUUUCUUGGAAAAUUGGGACUGGACCACCGUUUGAACCAGCUAUCUCUCUCCUCGGUCUGUACCCAAAGGACUUAAAAACAGCAUACUACAGGGACACAGCCACAUCAAUGUUUAUAGCAGCACAAUUCACAACAGCUAAACUAUAGCACCAACCUAGUUGCCCUUCAGUAGGUGAGUGGAUUAAAAAAAAUGUGGCAUAUACACACAAUGGAAUAUUACUCAGCAAUAAAAGAGAAUAAAAUCAUGACAUUUGUCGGUGAAUGGAUGGAGUUAGAGAAGAUAAUGCUAAGUGAAGUUAGCCAAUCCCAAAAAACCAAAUGCCAAAUGUUUUCUUUGAUAUAAGGAGGCUUAGUCAUUUACCUUUUUAAUAUGCCUACCUCUAAUUUUUCCCCUAAACUUUUUUGCAAUGCUGGUGAUCAGUCCCAGGGCCUUGCACACACUAGGCAUCCCCUAAAAUCAUUAUUAGAAGUAUAUAUAUUUCCUCUCAGUACUUUCAGAUACACAAGGUUUAAUUUAAAAAAAAAAAUUAAUUUAAAUUCCUUCUGGAGCCUUCCUUGGCUCCAUGUUGGAUUGGUUGUCAGAGGCUCUCUAGCCUCCUAAGUCUCCUAAAGCUUCCCUUUACAAACACUCUGGGAAUUUCAUUAGUCUCUGUUAGGUCCCAUUUCUUUCUCUCUUUGUUACCUGAUAAUUGUUUAGAAUCUUCUUAUAAAUUUUGAAUUCCAGCCUAGACAAGUCACUCAUCUUUGGGGCUGAAAACGUUCACUUCAGCAUGAUAGGAAGGAGUAAAUGUCACAUCAAGCAUCUAGCCUACUAUCUGGACCAUAAUGUAGGUAUUCAGUAAGCAGUCAUGAUUUCUAAUCCAUAACUUUAAUAUCCUUGAGAGACACUGUGUUCUGUUAUGUUUUGACAGCUUCUUGCCUCCAAUCAUGGUCAAGUGCCUGGCACAUACAUGGUGGUUACAAGGGAAACAUUCAACUUUUAGGUAGCUGGGUUGGAUAUUUAGCUGAAAACAUGGACAUAGGAUUUCAAAAGCCAGAAAUGGAUCUUCCGAAUUUCUUAGCACCUUUCUUCCCUUUUGUGUGUGUGUGUGUGUGUGUGUGUGUGUGUGUGUGUGUGUUUAAUCUUUGCUGUUGGCUAC